Molecule: ribosomal RNA, 231 nt
Filed under: Triticum aestivum (bread wheat)
Lineage: Eukaryota; Viridiplantae; Streptophyta; Magnoliopsida; Poales; Poaceae
Description: partial small subunit ribosomal RNA
Source: RNAcentral
AAGGUCCCCAAGGGGUACAUCCCGCUGGCGCUGGUGGGCGAGGAGGGGAACGGCGACGAGCGGGUGCUGGUGCGCAUCGGCGCGCUCAAGGAGCCGUGUAUGGCAGCGCUGCUGGAGAUGGCCGCGCAGCAGUUCGGCUACGGUCAGCCCGGCGUCCUCAGGAUCCCCUGCGACGCACAGCAGUUCCACCAAAUAGUCAGCGCCAUGUGCAGCAAGAGCAAAGCCACAUAG